AUUGAACGCUGGCGGCAUGCCUUACACAUGCAAGUCGAACGGUAACAGGUCUUCGGAUGCUGACGAGUGGCGAACGGGUGAGUAAUACAUCGGAACGUGCCCAGACGUUGGGGAUAACGAGGCGAAUGCUUUGCUAAUACCGCAUACGAUCUAAGGAUGAAAGCCGGGGACCGCAAGGCCUAGCGCGGUUGGAGCGGCCGAUGGCAGAUUAGUUAGUUGGUGGGAUAAAAGCUUACCAAGCCGACGAUCUGUAGCUGAGCUGAGAGGACGACCAGCCACACUGGAACUGAGACACGGCCCAGACUCCUACGGGAGGCAGCAGUAGGGAAUUUUGGACAAUGGGCGAAAGCCUGAUCCAGCAAUGCCGCGUGCGGGAUGAAGGCCUUCGGGUUGUAAAAUGCUGUUGUACGGAACGAAAAGGUUCGGGAUAAUACCUGGAGGUCAUGACGGUACCGUAUGAAUAAGCACCGGCUAACUACGUG
Molecule: ribosomal RNA, 482 nt
Filed under: uncultured bacterium
Lineage: Bacteria
Description: partial 16S ribosomal RNA
Rfam family: Bacterial small subunit ribosomal RNA
Source: RNAcentral